Molecule: ribosomal RNA, 428 nt
Filed under: Bacteroidota bacterium
Lineage: Bacteria; Pseudomonadati; Bacteroidota
Description: Bacteroidetes bacterium partial 16S ribosomal RNA
Rfam family: Bacterial small subunit ribosomal RNA
Source: RNAcentral
UAGGGAAUCUUCCGCAAUGGACGCAAGUCUGACGGAGCAACGCCGCGUGAGUGAAGAAGGAUUUCGGUUCGUAAAACUCUGUUGUUAGAGAAGAACAGCGCAUAGAGUAACUGUUAUGCGUGUGACGGUAUCUAACCAGAAAGCCACGGCUAAUUACGUGCCAGCAGCCGCGGUAAUACGUAAGGUCCGAGCGUUGUCCGGAAUCAUUGGGCGUAAAGGGUACGUAGGCGGGUAAGCAAGUUAGAAGUGAAAUCCUGUAGCUCAACUACAGUAAGCUUUUAAAACUGCUCAUCUUGAGAUAUGGAAGGGAAAGUGGAAUUCCUAGUGUAGCGGUGAAAUGCGCAGAUAUUAGGAGGAAUACCGGUGGCGAAGGCGACUUUCUGGCCAUAAUCUGACGCUGAGGUACGAAAGCGUGGGUAGCAAACAGG